UGGGUGAUCUGCCCUGCACUCUGGGAUAAGCCUGGGAAACUGGGUCUAAUACCGGAUAGGACUACGGCCUGCAUGGGUUGUGGUGGAAAGCUUUUGCGGUGUGGGAUGGGCCCGCGGCCUAUCAGCUUGUUGGUGGGGUGACGGCCCACCAAGGCGACGACGGGUAGCCGGCCUGAGAGGGCGACCGGCCACACUGGGACUGAGACACGGCCCAGACUCCUACGGGAGGCA
RNAcentral lists this ribosomal RNA (231 nucleotides) under uncultured bacterium. RNAcentral describes it as "partial 16S ribosomal RNA". It matches the Rfam family "Bacterial small subunit ribosomal RNA", at positions 118 to 350 of the family's 1533-position model. The record is from RNAcentral.